This 72-nucleotide transfer RNA is filed under the name Cavia porcellus (domestic guinea pig). It matches the Rfam family "tRNA". From Rfam's summary of the family: Transfer RNA (tRNA) molecules are approximately 80 nucleotides in length. Lineage: Eukaryota; Metazoa; Chordata; Mammalia; Rodentia; Caviidae. The record is from Rfam by way of RNAcentral.
GGAGAUGUAGCUCAGGGAUGGAGCAUGUGCCUAGCAUGCACAAUACCCUGGCUUCAAUCCCAGGUACCACCA